GAGCUCAUCGUCUAAAGGAUAGGACAUAAACCUUCUAAGUUUACAGUGUAGGUUCAAUUCCUACUGAGCUUA
RNAcentral lists this transfer RNA (72 nucleotides) under Friedmanniomyces endolithicus. RNAcentral's name for it is "tRNA-Arg". It matches the Rfam family "tRNA". Rfam says of the family: Transfer RNA (tRNA) molecules are approximately 80 nucleotides in length. Lineage: Eukaryota; Fungi; Ascomycota; Dothideomycetes; Mycosphaerellales; Teratosphaeriaceae. The record is from RNAcentral.